Molecule: transfer RNA, 72 nt
Filed under: Leontocebus nigricollis (black-and-red tamarin)
Lineage: Eukaryota; Metazoa; Chordata; Mammalia; Primates; Cebidae
Description: tRNA-Gln
Rfam family: tRNA
About the family: Transfer RNA (tRNA) molecules are approximately 80 nucleotides in length. Their secondary structure includes four short double-helical elements and three loops (D, anti-codon, and T loops).
Source: RNAcentral
UAGAAUAUAGUGUAAUAGGUAGCACGGAGAGUUUUGAGUUCUCAUGAAUAGGUUCGAUUCCUAUAGUUCUAG